This 425-nucleotide ribosomal RNA is filed under the name uncultured bacterium. RNAcentral describes it as "partial 16S ribosomal RNA". It matches the Rfam family "Bacterial small subunit ribosomal RNA", at positions 354 to 796 of the family's 1533-position model. The record is from RNAcentral.
GUGAGGAAUUUUGCGCAAUGGGGGCAACCCUGACGCAGCGACGCCGCGUGGAGGAUGAAGUCUUUCGGGAUGUAAACUCCUGUCAGUGGGGACGAUAAUGACGGUACCCACAGAGGAAGCACCGGCUAACUCCGUGCCAGCAGCCGCGGUAAGACGGAGGGUGCAAGCGUUGUUCGGAAUUACUGGGCGUAAAGCGUACGUAGGCGGCAAGUUAAGUUCAAUGUUAAAGCCCACGGCUCAACCGAGGAGAUGCAUUGAAUACUGGCUAGCUAGAGGGUGUUAGAGGAAGACGGAAUUCCCAGUGUAGCGGUGAAAUGCGUAGAUAUUGGGAGGAACAUCGGUAGCGAAAGCGGUCUUCUGGGACACACCUGACGCUGAGGUACGAAAGCGUGGGGAGCAAACGGGAUUAGAAACCCCAGUAGUCC